GCGCCCGUAGCUCAGUAGGAUAGAGCGCGAGAUUCCUAAUCUCGAGGUCGCAGGUUCGAUCCCUGCCGGGCGCGCCA
Molecule: transfer RNA, 77 nt
Filed under: Desulfurobacterium indicum
Lineage: Bacteria; Pseudomonadati; Aquificota; Aquificia; Desulfurobacteriales; Desulfurobacteriaceae
Description: tRNA-Arg
Rfam family: tRNA
About the family: Transfer RNA (tRNA) molecules are approximately 80 nucleotides in length. Their secondary structure includes four short double-helical elements and three loops (D, anti-codon, and T loops).
Source: RNAcentral